The sequence is a ribosomal RNA, 316 nucleotides long. The stretch from base 1 to 96 matches the Rfam family "5.8S ribosomal RNA", at positions 56 to 154 of the family's 154-position model.
UGAAAAGCAUGUGAUUGCAGAUUCAGUGAAUCAUCGAAUCUUUGAACGCACAUUGCGCCCGCCAGCAUUCUGGCGGGCAUGCCUGUUCGAGCGUCAUUUCAACCCUCAAGCUCUGCUUGGUGUUGGGGCUCUACGGUUGACGUAGGCCCUUAAAGGUAGUGGCGGACCCUCUCGGAGCCUCCUUUGCGUAGUAACAUUUCGUCUCGCAUUGGGAUUCGGAGGGACUCUAGCCGUAAAACCCCCAAUUUUACUAAGGUUGACCUCGGAUCAGGUAGGAAUACCCGCUGAACUUAAGCAUAUCAAUAAGCGGAGGAAA